GCAGAUACCCAACUUUUUUUUUUUUUUCCCUCCCUCACAGUAAAGUUGAGGGUAGUUGUUUGUCAGUUCCGUCUUGGCAGGAGGUGGCUCAGGAAAAAGGAAUCUAGAAAUUGUUUUUCCUAUAAAGAUAAAGUAAAAGCUAAUUUACUGUCCUACUAAAUCUCAUGCCUCACUUCAACAGAUCAAGGUGGAAUCAGUGAUCAGAGGAAUCAAAUACUAAAGAGAUGUCAAUAAAAUUAGUUUAGACCACUGACAGAUUUUCUUUCCUUUCAUAAAUUGUGAAAUAAAACCCAAGAUAAAUUUUAUUAUCUUGUAAAGAAGGCUUGUGAUUUAAAAGAAAACCUAUGAAAUGGACAAAGCAUAGAGCAAUGUAACAAAAGUAUUUCUUGUAGAAAACCAAAAAAAUGAACAUUUUUAAAAUUGCUCAAAGUGUUAGAGAUAUCCCUAUAAAACUCUGCUUUAUAGAAACUCAUUUUUUUAAAAAUUGGCUUAAUUUUUUUAGAACAGUGCAGUUCAAGGUUACCAUGCAUAUAUUAAAUAAUUACUUUAUUAAUUAAAUUUCAUGGCUUAUUAAGAUUUCCUUAGUUUUUAUCUAAUGUCCUUCAUUUGUACCAAGAUUUCAUCCAGGAUUCUACACUGCAUUUGUUUGUCAUGUCUACUUAGGCUCCUUAUGGCCAUGGUAAUUUCUCGUUUUUCAGUGACUUUGUCAAUUUGGAGGAGUACUAAUUGUGAGGGCAGUAGGGAGGAAGGAGGCAGAGGCUGGAGCAGUGAGUUUGCAAGCAGGGUUUAUUGGCCAACAGAGUGGCCAGGAGCACUGAGCAAGUAAAACUCAGGGCCACUGCUGUUGGGAGAGAAUCAGGUUUUAUAGGCAGGGGGUCAUGUUCUGAGUUCUACAGUUCCAGGAUGGCAGUUGAGAUCAUGGUAUAAAAUUUAAUUUUCUCCUUGGAGCUGUCUUUGUCAGCCACUUCCUGGGCUUGGAUGUUUCACCUGUGGAGGUCUGAUAAAGUGGAGACUGCAGGUCCGGGUCUGGGUGAGUCAAUGAGCCAUGCGGACUUAUUCAUUCUUAGGCCUGUCUUUUAGUUUCUACCUAAGACUAAACAGAUAUUUUAAAGUAGGUUAUAUGGAAUACAUCUCAUGAUUUUCUCAUGAUAAUAUUGGGAUUCAUAGAUACAAACUAUUGCCUUUGGAAUGGAUUAGCAAUGAGAUUCUGCUGUGUAGCCUUGGGAACUACGUCUAGUUACUUGCGAUGGAGCAUGAUAAUGUACGAAAAUAGAAUGUGUACAUGUAUGGGUAGCUGGGUCACCAUGCUGUACAGUAGAAAAAAAUUGUAUUGGGGAAAAUAACUAUUAAAAAUAAUAAUAAUAUUGGGAUUCUAAGUUAUUGGGAGGAAGAUGACAGAGAAAAAGUGCCAUUUUCGGCAUACUUUCUCCAAACACAUACAUCAAUAGAGUUUAUGAUUGUUGAUGCUGACUUUCAUCAUCUGGCUAGUGUUGUAUUCAUUAGAUUUCUCCUCAGUGAAUGUAUUCUUUUUUCUCUCUUUUCUAUUCUCUGUCUUUGGAGAGAGAUAGCACUUUUCUUUAUCCCCAAAGCACCUUUAUUGUUGUUUAUCAGGGGAGGUGCAGGCUGUUUUUUUUUUUUUCUUAUUAUACUGAGCUGUGGUUGGACAGAAGGGCAGCUUUGAUUAUUUCCAUACUCUAAGUACCUUUCACAGAGUUUGUUGUAUAGGAAAUUUUCAAGUAAAUAUGUGUUGAAUCAAAAGAUGUUUUGUAAUAAAUCAAAAAUUUUUAACUCAAAACUAGUUUUAAUAAGCCAAUAUGCAUAAAGGGCAGUAUAUUUUGCCCUAAAAUUAGAAUAUAGCCUUAAAAUAUGUGGCUUUCAUUCCCACAUUUCUUCAAAAAUUAUGGAACAUUGAUAGAAAAGAGAUUUCUAUUAUUUUUAAGUACAGAAUAAAAAAAAUACAAACUCAAGAUUGUACAGCCUAAAAAGUUGGGAGUUCCCAUUGUGGCUCAGCAGAAAUGAAUCUGACAAGAAUCAAUGAAGAUGCAGGUUUGAUCCCUAGCCUCACUCAGUGGGUUGGGGAUCCUGUGUUGCUGUGGCAUAGGCUGGCGGCUGCAGCUCCAGUUCGACCCCUAGCCUGGUAAUUUCUAUAUGCUACGGGUGCAGCCCUAAAAAUGCAAAAAUAAAAAAAAA
RNAcentral lists this long non-coding RNA (2190 nucleotides) under Sus scrofa (pig). RNAcentral describes it as "lncRNA (ENSSSCG00060033798.1)". The record is from RNAcentral. Lineage: Eukaryota; Metazoa; Chordata; Mammalia; Artiodactyla; Suidae.